Molecule: long non-coding RNA, 1272 nt
Filed under: Lathyrus oleraceus (garden pea)
Lineage: Eukaryota; Viridiplantae; Streptophyta; Magnoliopsida; Fabales; Fabaceae
Description: Pisum sativum (pea) long non-coding RNA (PSAT_LNC010943)
Source: RNAcentral
GAAUUUUGAGAAGCCAGCCUUCAACUUAUCUGAUGGAUGAUUCGCCGUUGCCUUCAAGUUGUUUGCCUGCAUUUGUUGAGAUCUUACAAGUAUUGUUAUUAGAAUUUACAAAGAUGGUUGGGGUCCCACAACAAUCUGCUUUUCUUUUGUUAGAUGGUGCUCUCAGCUAUCUGGGAGAAUUAGCAAGUUAUUUUCCUUUCACAAAUCCUACCUCACCGAGUAAAGUUUAUACACAUGAGGGCAAUAGGCAAGUCCAUAUUGUUGCAAGGAAAGAGAGCAAAACUAACCUUACACGAAAGACAGUCGAGCACAAAGACACUGCAUAAAGGACCGUUUGAAGCUUGCUCUUCUAAUGAGAUGCACUACUUUUGCUUGAAUGAAUUGAAAACUAGGCUGCAGGUGUCAUUCAAAGCUUUUAUAGAGGGGCAAUCGGAGUUGCACCUUUUGUCUACUAUACAGGCCAUUGAGAGAGCACUAGUCGUAAUACAAAGGAUGCACUAUAAUCUAUGGCAUAAAAACAAAUAAAGAUGGGGGUGAAAUUUCAACACUUGUGGCAGCUGACAUUGAUUGCUCGGACAUGAUUCUUGAAUUUGUUUCAGGUCGGAAAGGCUUGAAGCUGAUCAAAAGACACUGUCAGAGCUUAGUAUCUGCUGUUUUCAACAUUAUUGUGCAUUUACAGAGCCCACAUAUAUUUUAUGUUAACUGGAGACGUAAAACAGUUGCCGGUACUCCAGAUCCAGGGUCAGCCGUUCUCAUGUGUGUUGAAGUGCUAACUACAGUUUCAAGGAAACAUGGCCUUUUCUCAAUGGAUGUGUGUCAUGUGGGUCACAUGUUACAUAUCCCUGCUGCAACUCCUACACAAGAGACAACAAUGUGCAAAUGAAAGAUUGUAACAACAACAUCAUCAUUAAGGUUUCAAUGUUCUCCUAGUGGUACUAUGGCACUUUUCAAACUAGUGUCGUUCACCAGAAAACCUUCACACUUGCAUUUGUUAAGGCUUCAUAGCCAUUCUCACGGUUUGGGAUGGCAAUGUCAACACCACAAAGGGGAACACCAUUCUUCUCCCAAUCCUUCACAGAUAUUAGAAAUUGGUUUCAAUAGGAUGCUUGUUUCUCUCCAUGAUUGAAGAAAUUUACGCAUCAUGGAACUAGCUGGCUUUUUGCUUUGCAUUCUAAUGAUUGUUCCGUCAACUGAUGUUGUGGAUGCUCUCAAAACUUGUGCCUAUUUGUUCAAGGAAUGCAGGCCAGAAUUAGCCAAGUGUCUUUCAAACCC